RNAcentral lists this unclassified non-coding RNA (287 nucleotides) under fungal sp. RNAcentral's name for it is "partial internal transcribed spacer region". The stretch from base 1 to 46 matches the Rfam family "Eukaryotic small subunit ribosomal RNA", at positions 1786 to 1831 of the family's 1831-position model. The record is from RNAcentral. Lineage: Eukaryota; Fungi.
AAGUCGUAACAAGGUUUCCGUAGGUGAACCUGCGGAAGGAUCAUUCCAACAAUUAAAAAAAAAAGCUAUUUUAAACUCACAGUUGAACUGUUCACUCAACUAUUUUUUUCUUUAUUGCAAUUAUGCAAUUAAAAACCCUAAAAACGUGAUAUUAUUAUUGAUUAACAGACCAAGUAAACUAAAACAAAAAGCGGAGCCUCUGAUAAUGAUGAAGGCUUUUUUUUUCGCUAUAAAAAAAAAAGAAAUAGAAAAGUACAACUCUUAACAAUGGAUACCUCGGUUCUUGC